GAUAUGAAUGCAUUUAUGAUUGUACUGCUUGUAAUUGUCUAACACACUUAUUGGUGAUGGAUAUAAACGCAUCAUGAUUGUAAUUUCUGAGUUACAUGUUUUAUUCAUCCCUAGCAGCAUUAUUAGAACCUGCAUCUCUUAUGCUCAUCAAAUUAAUGUGAAAUUGCCUCUGCAAGCAUGUACAGAUAAUAAUGUUUUGGUUAUCAUUUUCUAUGAAUUAUCCUUUUGAAAAAUAAAUUUU
RNAcentral lists this unclassified non-coding RNA (241 nucleotides) under Hevea brasiliensis (rubber tree). Lineage: Eukaryota; Viridiplantae; Streptophyta; Magnoliopsida; Malpighiales; Euphorbiaceae. The record is from RNAcentral.